This is an RNA transcript of Harmonia axyridis, 828 nucleotides long. It is a transcript of the gene named protein disulfide-isomerase-like, with no coding region annotated. The transcript has 3 exons. The record is from RefSeq and is a predicted model, not a curated record. NCBI's taxonomy places the organism in Eukaryota, Metazoa, Arthropoda, Insecta, Coleoptera, Coccinellidae.
GUUCUAUGAUUGACGUAUUUGGUGAUUCAACUAUAAAGUAUGUCAGGUAUUUACCUGAAUAAUAGCUAAGGAAGAUGAAUAGCUGAGGAGGUGUUCGAACAAGGCUGAAGUUCAUGAGUAAACCAGAUACUUCAGGUAUAACACCAUCUCAACCCGAAAGUAUUCCUAGUAAGCCAAGUGCUCCAAUUCAAACAGAUUCUCCUGUAUUAACUCUAGACAAUGACAAUUUCAAGACGAGUAUAGGUUCCCAAGAGCCUACACUGGUGUUCUUCUUUGCUUCGUGUAGGGUGUGGUAGUUGUGUUAAGUUCAAGCCUAUUUACUUCGAUGUAGCCAAAGAGUUGGCAGGUAAAUCACCCAUACGUUUUGCUCUGUAUGAUUGCAGCAGCGGUGGAGAGAUAGCUGAAGAGUAUGGAAUUUCUCGAUUCCCUUCACUCAAAUUGUUCAGGAGUGGCAAGUUCGAGCGUGAUUUUGAAGGUAAAAGGAACCCGGAAGACCUGAAAACGUUCGUUGCCAAAUUUUCCAAUGGAAAAGGUGUAGUUUAAACACAUUGCUUCAUGUGAGAAUCAAUUUUUUCUGUUUGUGAACUGACUCGAAUCUUAUAGUUAAUGAGAUCAUUUGAGUUUGCACUAAAGAUAUAUCGUUUCAUGUAAGUACUUAUUGUAAGUUAGGUAUAUAAAUCAAGAUAUUUUUCUUUGUUUUUUUGUGAUGUGGGCACAUACCUAAUGUUUUAUUUGACUUAGUUUUUGAUGAUUGAAUCAGGUAGACGAUGUAACCCAUAUUCAAUACACUGAUUAUGUACAUUAAAAAUAAACUCAUGUUUACCGGUU